AGCGGGUGGAGGCCCUGGGCCAGUUUGUCAUGAAGACCAGAAGGACACUCAAAGGCCACGGCAACAAGGUCCUCUGCAUGGACUGGUGCAAAGAUAAGCGGAGGAUCGUGAGCUCCUCGCAGGAUGGAAAGGUGAUUGUGUGGGACUCCUUCACCACCAACAAGGAGCACGCGGUCACCAUGCCCUGCACGUGGGUGAUGGCAUGUGCGUACGCCCCAUCUGGAUGUGCCAUUGCCUGCGGGUAAGUUGCUCGGAUUCCCAUCAGCCACA
Castor canadensis (American beaver) is the source of this 270-nucleotide non-coding RNA. The record is from RefSeq and is a predicted model, not a curated record. NCBI's taxonomy places the organism in Eukaryota, Metazoa, Chordata, Mammalia, Rodentia, Castoridae.